RNAcentral lists this ribosomal RNA (298 nucleotides) under uncultured bacterium. RNAcentral's name for it is "partial 16S ribosomal RNA". It matches the Rfam family "Bacterial small subunit ribosomal RNA", at positions 44 to 334 of the family's 1533-position model. The record is from RNAcentral.
GUGCUUAACACAUGCAAGUCGCGUGCGCAGUUCGCGUAGCAAUACGUGGAUGGGCGCACGGCGCACGGGUGCGUAACACGUGGGCAAUCUGCCCUCCGAUGGGGAAUAACCCCGCGAAAGCGGGGCUAAUACCGCAUAACAUUCCUUUGGCUACGGCCGAGGGAUUCAAAGCAGCAAUGCGUCGGAGGAGGAGCCCGCGCCCGAUUAGUUAGUUGGUGAGGUAACGGCUCACCAAGACAAUGAUCGGUAGCUGGUCUGAGAGGAUGGCCAGCCACACUGGAACUGAGACACGGUCCAG